GGGGGACAGAGUGACAGGUGGUGCAUGGUUGUCGUCAGCUCGUGUCGUGAGAUGUUGGGUUAAGUCCCGCAACGAGCGCAACCCUUAAGCUUAGUUGCCAUCAUUAAGUUGGGCACUCUAAGUUGACUGCCGGUGACAAACCGGAGGAAGGUGGGGAUGACGUCAAAUCAUCAUGCCCCUUAUGAUUUGGGCUACACACGUGCUACAAUGGACAAUACAAAGGGCAGCGAAACCGCGAGGUCAAGCAAAUCCCAUAAAGUUGUUCUCAGUUCGGAUUGUAGUCUGCAACUCGACUAUAUGAAGCUGGAAUCGCUAGUAAUCGUAGAUCAGCAUGCUACGGUGAAUACGUUCCCGGGUCUUGUACACACCGCCCGUCACACCACGAGAGUUUGUAACACCCGAAGCCGGUGGAGUAACCAUUUGGAGCUAGCCGUCGAAGGUGGGACAAAUGAUUGGGGUGAAGUCGUAACAAGGUAGCCGUAUCGGAAGGUGCGGCUGGAUCACCUCCUUUCUAA
RNAcentral lists this ribosomal RNA (515 nucleotides) under Staphylococcus epidermidis. Its description in RNAcentral is "bacterial SSU rRNA". It matches the Rfam family "Bacterial small subunit ribosomal RNA", at positions 1021 to 1533 of the family's 1533-position model. Lineage: Bacteria; Bacillati; Bacillota; Bacilli; Caryophanales; Staphylococcaceae. The record is from RNAcentral.